GACGAACGCUGGCGGCGUGCUUAACACAUGCAAGUCGAACGGAAAGGCCCUGCUUUUGUGGGGUGCUUGAGUGGCGAACGGGUGAGUAACACGUGAGUAACCUGCCCUUGACUUUGGGAUAACUUCAGGAAACUGGGGCUAAUACCGGAUAGGAGCUCCUGCUGCAUGGUGGGGGUUGGAAAGUUUCGGCGGUUGGGGAUGGACUCGCGGCUUAUCAGCUUGUUGGUGGGGUAGUGGCUUACCAAGGCUUUGACGGGUAGCCGGCCUGAGAGGGUGACCGGCCACAUUGGGACUGAGAUACGGCCCAGACUCCUACGGGAGGCAGCAGUGGGGAAUACUGCACAAUGGGCGGAAGCCUGAUGCAGCAACGCCGCGUGCGGGAUGACGGCCUUCGGGUUGUAAACCGCUUUCGCCUGUGACGAAGCGUGAGUGACGGUAAUGGGUAAAGAAGCACCGGCUAACUACGUG
Molecule: ribosomal RNA, 468 nt
Filed under: uncultured bacterium
Lineage: Bacteria
Description: partial 16S ribosomal RNA
Rfam family: Bacterial small subunit ribosomal RNA
Source: RNAcentral